CCUACGGGUGGCAGCAGUCGAGAAUCAUUCACAAUGGGGGAAACCCUGAUGGGGCGACGCCGCGUGGGGGAAUGAAGGUCUGCGGAUUGUAAACCCCUGUCAUGAGGGAGCAAAGUAAAAAGAGAGGACCACAAGAGGAAGAGACGGCGAACUCUGUGCCAGCAGCCGCGGUAAUACAGAGGUCUCAAGCGUUGUUCGGAAUAACUGGGCGUAAAGCGUGCGUAGGCUGUUUCGUAAGUCGUGUGUGAAAGGCGCGGGCUCCCCCCGCGGACGGCACAUGAUACUGCGAGACUAGAGUAAUGGCUGGGGAACCGGACUUCUCGGUGUCGCCGUGACAUGCG
Molecule: ribosomal RNA, 341 nt
Filed under: uncultured bacterium
Lineage: Bacteria
Description: partial 16S ribosomal RNA
Rfam family: Bacterial small subunit ribosomal RNA
Source: RNAcentral